AAAAAACUAACUUAUUCAUUUUGUUUCUUUUUAUAGAACAAGGAAGUGGCUAUAUAUUCUAGGAUACACAUUAUUUCCUUCCUUUCUAUCCUUGGAAGACAAUUUGUGUAAGUCACAAAGUGCUCUAUCAAGACCUCUGUUGUUUAUCUACAUUUUUCUCUGCAAAAAAUACAAAAAUGACAGAGAUGGCCGUAUCCCCACUUCUGCAAGUAGUUUUUGACAGACUAGCUUCUCCAGUCCUUGGAAAGCUUCGUGAACUCUGCAAUCUUAAGCAUAACUUAAAGAAGCUGCAGCAGUCAUUACCUAUGAUUCAAGCCAUUCUUGAAGAUGCAGAAGAGCGACAAGUGACGGAUAAAGCUGUGAAAGCUUGGCUGUCGAAGCUCAAAGAUGUGGCUUAUGAUGCGGAUGACUUGU
RNAcentral lists this unclassified non-coding RNA (414 nucleotides) under Hevea brasiliensis (rubber tree). Lineage: Eukaryota; Viridiplantae; Streptophyta; Magnoliopsida; Malpighiales; Euphorbiaceae. The record is from RNAcentral.